GCCAGACUCCUACGGGAGGCAGCAGUGGGGAAUAUUGGGCAAUGGGCGCAAGCCUGACCCAGCAACGCCGCGUGAGUGAAGAAGUAUUUCGGUAUGUAAAGCUCUAUCAGCAGGGAAGAAGAUGACGGUACCUGAUUAAGAAGCCCCGGCUAACUACGUGCCAGCAGCCGCGGUAAUACGUAGGGGGCAAGCGUUAUCCGGAUUUACUGGGUGUAAAGGGAGCGCAGACGGCAGUGCAAGUCUGGAGUGAAAGCCCGGGGCCCAACCCCGGAACUGCUCUGGAAACUGUGCGGCUAGAGUACUGGAGGGGCAGGCGGAAUUCCUAGUGUAGCGGUGAAAUGCGUAGAUAUUAGGAGGAACACCAGUGGCGAAGGCGGCCUGCUGGACAGUAACUGACGUUGAGGCUCGAAAGCGUGGGGAGCAAACAGGAUUAGAUACCCUAGUAA
This 446-nucleotide ribosomal RNA is filed under the name uncultured bacterium. RNAcentral's name for it is "bacterial SSU rRNA". It matches the Rfam family "Bacterial small subunit ribosomal RNA", at positions 330 to 793 of the family's 1533-position model. The record is from RNAcentral.